Long non-coding RNA from Telopea speciosissima, 229 nucleotides. RefSeq lists it as uncharacterized. The transcript is spliced from 4 exons. The record is from RefSeq and is a predicted model, not a curated record. Lineage: Eukaryota; Viridiplantae; Streptophyta; Magnoliopsida; Proteales; Proteaceae.
UACCGAUCUCAGAUAUUGAGAUCAGAGAGAGGAAAAAGCUUGUUAUGCAGAUAUUGAAAGUGGGUUGUGGGGGUGGGAGUGCAAGUCAUCGAUGAUAGCGAAAGAGAAUUGUGCCAAUCGAUGUCUCUCUCCUCCUUGUUAUGAGCUCGUCUAUGAAAGUGAUCCGCUUGAGGAAGGAGAGAAAGAUUUCAGAAGAAGCCAGGAGUACAAGUACUGCAUGCACAAGUAA